AGCAAAGGCUGGAGGGUGAGUUUUAUCUCUCUUUACUUGGUAUUCUUGCUGGGAUUAAAGCACGUGGAGUUCUGCUACUAGUGGCUUGCAGCACUGCUUCAUCUUGAUGUUUCUUAUGUGAAACACCUCAUCCAGGAGAUGGGAUAACUAGCCUAAAGCUUGGAAUGUGAAUUUGGGUUUACUGCUCUGAUUGUAAGUUUCAUGAGGUUUGGAUCUGCAGAUGGGCAAGCAUGGAACGUAUAUCCUUUAAAGAGAGGAGAAUAAUGAGUUUUAACCUUUCAUUUUGGGAGUAUUUGUGCUUUUGACUGAGGACUGGCUUUUAGGUUGUGAUUCACAACAGUUUUUAAAGUGAGGUGGUGACUUCAGUCCUAAUAAGUGUUU
Molecule: long non-coding RNA, 381 nt
Organism: Hirundo rustica (Barn swallow)
Lineage: Eukaryota; Metazoa; Chordata; Aves; Passeriformes; Hirundinidae
Exons: 3
Source: RefSeq, a predicted model, not a curated record